Molecule: transfer RNA, 73 nt
Filed under: Ixodes scapularis (black-legged tick)
Lineage: Eukaryota; Metazoa; Arthropoda; Arachnida; Ixodida; Ixodidae
Description: tRNA-Ser
Rfam family: tRNA
About the family: Transfer RNA (tRNA) molecules are approximately 80 nucleotides in length. Their secondary structure includes four short double-helical elements and three loops (D, anti-codon, and T loops).
Source: RNAcentral
CCCUGGUUAGCUCAGUUGGGAGAGCGCUUCACUGGAAAUGGAGAGGUCCCGGGUUCGAUACCCGGACCAGGCG